RNAcentral lists this ribosomal RNA (890 nucleotides) under uncultured Bacillota bacterium. Its description in RNAcentral is "bacterial SSU rRNA". It matches the Rfam family "Bacterial small subunit ribosomal RNA", at positions 11 to 914 of the family's 1533-position model. The record is from RNAcentral. Lineage: Bacteria; Bacillati; Bacillota.
CCUUUAUUAUGGCUCAGGACGAACGCUGGCGGCGCGCCUAACACCUGCAAGUCGAGCGAGCGAGAGAGAGCUUACUUUCUCGAGCGAGUGGCGAACGGGUGAGUAACGCGUGAGGAACCUGCCUCAAAGAGGGGGACAACAGUUGGAAACGACUGCUAAUACGGCAUAAGCCCACGGCUCGGCAUCGAGCAGAGGGAAAAGGAGCAAUCCGCUUUGAGAUGGCCUCGCGUCCGAUUAGCUAGUUGGUGAGGUAACGGCCCACCAAGGCGACGAUCGGUAGCCGGACUGAGAGGUUGAACGGCCACAUUGGGACUGAGACACGGCCCAGACUCCUACGGGAGGCAGCAGUGGGGAAUAUUGCACAAUGGGGGAAACCCUGAUGCAGCGACGCCGCGUGGAGGAAGAAGGUCUUCGGAUUGUAAACUCCUGUUGUUGAGGAAGAUAAUGACGGUACUCAACAAGGAAGUGACGGCUAACUACGUGCCAGCAGCCGCGGUAAAACGUAGGUCACAAGCGUUGUCCGGAAUUACUGGGUGUAAAGGGAGCGCAGGCGGGAAGACAAGUUGGAAGUGAAAUCCAUGGGCUCAACCCAUGAACUGCUUUCAAAACUGUUUUUCUUGAGUAGUGCAGAGGUAGGCGGAAUUCCCGGUGUAGCGGUGGAAUGCGUAGAUAUCGGGAGGAACACCAGUGGCGAAGGCGGCCUACUGGGCACCAACUGACGCUGAGGCUCGAAAGUGUGGGUAGCAAACAGGAUUAGAUACCCUGGUAGUCCACACUGUAAACGAUGAUUACUAGGUGUUGGAGGAUUGACCCCUUCAGUGCCGCAGUUAACACAGUAAGUAAUCCACCUGGGGAGUACGACCGCAAGGUUGCAACUCAAAUGAAUUGAC